This 325-nucleotide ribosomal RNA is filed under the name bacterium xpnta270lb726offp11.20. RNAcentral describes it as "bacterial SSU rRNA". It matches the Rfam family "Bacterial small subunit ribosomal RNA", at positions 50 to 378 of the family's 1533-position model. The record is from RNAcentral.
UACACAUGCAGUCGAACGGCAGCACGGGGGCAACCCUGGUGGCGAGUGGCGAACGGGUGAGUAACAUAUCGGAACGUGCCCUGGAGUGGGGGAUAACUAGUCGAAAGAUUAGCUAAUACCGCAUACGAUCUACGGAUGAAAGUGGGGGAUCGCAAGACCUCAUGCUCGUGGAGCGGCCGAUAUCUGAUUAGCUAGUUGGUGGGGUAAAGGCCUACCAAGGCAUCGAUCAGUAGCUGGUCUGAGAGGACGACCAGCCACACUGGGACUGAGACACGGCCCAGACUCCUACGGGAGGCAGCAGUGGGGAAUUUUGGACAAUGGGCGC